This 1338-nucleotide unclassified non-coding RNA is filed under the name Hevea brasiliensis (rubber tree). Lineage: Eukaryota; Viridiplantae; Streptophyta; Magnoliopsida; Malpighiales; Euphorbiaceae. The record is from RNAcentral.
GGGUCAACUGGCUAAGGCAGAGCAAGAAGCGCCGACCAAGACUAUAAGAGAUGUUGACAAAUAACGCGCCGUAGAUGCAAGGAUAUACGUAACAGCUUACGACUGCCGCCACGUGGACGUUGAUGAGGUCUCACCGACCCGCUUGUCAUACAUAGACAAAACCCCAAAAGCAUGUUUCUUUGCGUUUCGUACCCUUCGGUUUUUUCUUCGUCCUUUCCUUCCCUGAAUCCCUGUUUUAAACCCUAGAAAUUGGACGACGAAGAAUUCAAUAUCUUUCUGAUCAUCGAUCUUUUAUGUGUAUACGCUAAUCGAUUUGGUUUGCGAGUGUUAGAUUGAAGGUGUUGAAAGCUGGAAAUUUUGAUAGCAAGAUUAUAGAUAGAGCAUGAGUACUCAGGCUCAGGGAGUGAGGGGCCCUACCUUAAGGGGGUAUCGCAGGAGGAAGGCAAUGCUUGACUUGAAUGUGCCUCCAAGUGAAAACAGGGAUCAGGAAGGAACUUCAACUGAGGGUGUGCAACAUGGAGAGCAAGCAAGUCAACAAGGGCAGCCUGUACCACCUGCUACAAUCGAUGUUGAGGCUAUUGAUGAUGAUGAUGUUAUUGAAUCUUCCCCGAGGGCUUUUGCUGAAGCUAAGAGUAAUGCUCGAAGAAACAAUGCCCAAAGAACCCAUGGAAGUACUGUUGUAGUCGAUGUAGAUUCAGGACGAACAACUAGGUUGAAUUAUAAUAACCAUAACAAGCGCAGACGAGUUCUACCAGACCAAACAAUUAUCAAUUGUGAACAUUAUGUAAAUUUGGAAGGCAGUAGCAGCUCCAUGAGAGAUAAUGUACCGUCACCACCUCCAGUUCCAAAGGAGCCAACCUUCAACUGUCCGAUUUGCAUGGGUCCAUUUGUUGAGGAGACAUCGACAAAAUGCGGGCACAUUUUCUGUAAGGCUUGCAUUAAGGCUGCAAUUAGAGUAAAGGCAAAAUGUCCUACAUGUAGGAAAAGAGUCAUUGGUAAAAACCUUAUUAGGGUGUUCCUUCCUGCAACCAGUUCAUUGUGAUGCUCAUGACCAAUUGCUAUUUUAUGUAAGUUUUCUUUUUUAACUGAUGUAUUUACUGUGGUCAUUAGUUAAAGAAGCAGCAUUAUUUCACUUAUAUGAUAUAUUUAUAUUUCAAGGAUUUGUUGUAUGUGACAUGAUAGUAUAUCCACAUAUGAGCACAUGCACUCACCUUAAGGAGGUGGAUUUCAAAAUGAAAAAUGCUUAGCUUCAAGUUUAUUCUGUGGGAUAUGUUGAAAUAAUUAGGCAGAAGAAAUGAUGGUAUGCUCAAGUGCAUUGUCUUCUCUCUCUCUCUCUCU